This is a non-coding RNA of Sphaeramia orbicularis (orbiculate cardinalfish), 73 nucleotides long. Lineage: Eukaryota; Metazoa; Chordata; Actinopteri; Kurtiformes; Apogonidae. The record is from the annotation of a RefSeq genome assembly.
UUCUAAUAUGGUCUAGUGGUUAGAAUUCCUGGUUUUCACCCAGGUGGUCUGGGUUCAACUCCCAGUAUGGAAA